AAAUUAUCUUCAUAUUUCUGUGCCAUACUCUUAGCAACUGAGGAACUAGUAACUUUUUCCCCAGGGAUAGCAUACUGGCGGGAAGAUUCUCUCAAUCUACUCUCUUUAAUGAUUUGCUCAUUUUCAAGCUCCUGUAACUUGUUGUAGUAUUCCUCACUCUUCUUCUUCUUCACUGUCUGUUGCCAUUCUGUUUCAGCAUCCUUAAUAACCUUAGGUUUUAAUUCGGGCCUAUGGUCGAUAACACCUUGGCGUUGCAUAGUUUGCCUUUCUUCGAAUGUUUUUUCUAACUCAGUUUCAGUGCGUUGAUAUUGUGUUUGAAAAUACUUACGUCUUGGCGCGUUUUUGAGAACACUUCUAUAAUCAUCGUGUCUCGGAAUAACUUUUAAUUCGGUCGUAGCCAGAGCCUCGCCAACUGAACUUCUUGCAAUGACUUCAAUUUUUCCAGUAUCGUACUGUCUGGUUUUUGGUAUGUCAAAAUGAUACAUUCCAUCGUAAGUUAACUUGUAUCUAGAGCCCUGUGAAAUUAUACGAUAGAUAUUAUUAUACCU
Molecule: unclassified non-coding RNA, 548 nt
Filed under: Melitaea cinxia (Glanville fritillary)
Lineage: Eukaryota; Metazoa; Arthropoda; Insecta; Lepidoptera; Nymphalidae
Description: misc RNA ENSMCXG00005013744.1
Source: RNAcentral